This 466-nucleotide ribosomal RNA is filed under the name uncultured Acidobacteriota bacterium. RNAcentral's name for it is "bacterial SSU rRNA". It matches the Rfam family "Bacterial small subunit ribosomal RNA", at positions 338 to 795 of the family's 1533-position model. Lineage: Bacteria; Pseudomonadati; Acidobacteriota. The record is from RNAcentral.
CCUACGGGAGGCAGCAGUGGGGAAUUGUUCGCAAUGGGCGCAAGCCUGACGACGCAACGCCGCGUGGAGGAUGAAGAUUUUCGGAUCGUAAACUCCUUUCGAUCGAGACGAAUGGCCUCUGGGCUAACAUCCCGGAGGAAUGACGGUACCGAGAGAAGAAGCCCCGGCUAACUCCGUGCCAGCAGCCGCGGUAAUACGGGGGGGGCAAGCGUUGUUCGGAAUUACUGGGCGUAAAGGGCUCGUAGGCGGCCAACUAAGUCAGACGUGAAAUCCCUCGGCUUAACCGGGGAACUGCGUCUGAUACUGGAUGGCUUGAGUUCGGGAGAGGGAUGCGGAAUUCCAGGUGUAGCGGUGAAAUGCGUAGAUAUCUGGAGGAACACCGGUGGCGAAGGCGGCAUCCUGGACCGAUACUGACGCUGAGGAGCGAAAGCCAGGGGAGCAAACGGGAUUAGAUACCCGAGUAGUC